Molecule: ribosomal RNA, 271 nt
Filed under: uncultured prokaryote
Description: partial 16S ribosomal RNA
Rfam family: Bacterial small subunit ribosomal RNA
Source: RNAcentral
UACGGAGGAUCCGAGCGUUAUCCGGAUUUAUUGGGUUUAAAGGGUGCGCAGGCGGAAGAUUAAGUCGGUGGUGAAAUUUUGCAGCUCAACUGUAAAAGUGCCUUCGAAACUGGUUUCCUUGAGUGUAGAUGAAGUAGGCGGAAUUUGUGGUGUAGCGGUGAAAUGCUUAGAUAUCACGAGGAACUCCGAUUGCGCAGGCAGCUUACUAAACUACUACUGACGCUCAGGCACGAAGGCGUGGGGAUCAAACAGGAUUAGAUACCCUGGUAGU